RNAcentral lists this ribosomal RNA (614 nucleotides) under Trichoderma atroviride. RNAcentral's name for it is "eukaryotic LSU rRNA". The stretch from base 220 to 373 matches the Rfam family "5.8S ribosomal RNA". Lineage: Eukaryota; Fungi; Ascomycota; Sordariomycetes; Hypocreales; Hypocreaceae. The record is from RNAcentral.
UCUCUCUCAGGGGGAACCUGCGGAGGGAUCAUUACCGAGUUUACAACUCCCAAACCCAAUGUGAACCAUACCAAACUGUUGCCUCGGCGGGGUCACGCCCCGGGCGCGUCGCAGCCCCGGAACCAGGCGCCCGCCGGAGGGACCAACCAAACUCUUUUCUGUAGUCCCCUCGCGGACGUUAUUUCUUACAGCUCUGAGCAAAAAUUCAAAAUGAAUCAAAACUUUCAACAACGGAUCUCUUGGUUCUGGCAUCGAUGAAGAACGCAGCGAAAUGCGAUAAGUAAUGUGAAUUGCAGAAUUCAGUGAAUCAUCGAAUCUUUGAACGCACAUUGCGCCCGCCAGUAUUCUGGCGGGCAUGCCUGUCCGAGCGUCAUUUCAACCCUCGAACCCCUCCGGGGGGUCGGCGUUGGGGACCUCGGGAGCCCCUAAGACGGGAUCCCGGCCCCGAAAUACAGUGGCGGUCUCGCCGCAGCCUCUCCUGCGCAGUAGUUUGCACAACUCGCACCGGGAGCGCGGCGCGUCCACGUCCGUAAAACACCCAACUUCUGAAAUGUUGACCUCGGAUCAGGUAGGAAUACCCGCUGAACUUAAGCAUAUCAAAAAGCCGGAGAAAA